UAACGAAUCUUCCGCAAUGCACGAAAGUGUGACGGAGCGACGCCGCGUGGAGGACGAAGUUCUUCGGAAUGUAAACUCCUGUCAGGGGAAAGAAAGUUCUGAUCUACCCCAGAGGAAGAGGCGGCUAACUCUGUGCCAGCAGCCGCGGUAAUACAGAGGCCUCGAGCGUUAGACGGAAUCACUGGGCUUAAAGCGUGUGUAGGCGGAAGGGUAAGUACCUUGUGAAAUCCCACGGCUUAACCGUGGAACGGCUUGGUAUACUGCUUUUCUUGAGCAAUCUAGGGGCGAGUGGAACAGAUGGUGGAGCGGUGAAAUGCGUAGAUAUCAUCUGGAACGCCAAUGGUGAAGACAACUCGCUGGGGAUUUGCUGACGCUGAGACACGAAAGCCAGGGGAGCGAACGGGAUUAGAUACCCGGGUAGUCCCUGAGCGGGCUGGCAAGGCGCAU
Molecule: ribosomal RNA, 447 nt
Filed under: uncultured bacterium
Lineage: Bacteria
Description: bacterial SSU rRNA
Rfam family: Bacterial small subunit ribosomal RNA
Source: RNAcentral